This is a long non-coding RNA of Mauremys mutica (yellowpond turtle), 1622 nucleotides long. RefSeq lists it as uncharacterized. The transcript is spliced from 3 exons. The record is from RefSeq and is a predicted model, not a curated record. NCBI's taxonomy places the organism in Eukaryota, Metazoa, Chordata, Testudines, Geoemydidae.
GUGGAGAUCGGCUGGCCCCUCGCACACUCAGCCCAGACGACAAACAGUUAUGGGGACUUUCUGAACGGCUUAGUCCACUUGAGUUAGAAAGCCAAAGCCUGCCACACGUCAUUGGAUGCGUGAGGCUUGGGGCAGAGGACCGGUAGAAAAAUGUCCUGACUCAUAUGGUAUGCGGAGACCAUCUUAGGGAGGAAUGAGGGGCGUGGGCGAAGCUGGACCUUGUCCUUGUGAAAAACCACGUACAGGGGUUUGGAGGUCAGGGCCCUGAGCUCCGAGACUUGUCUAGCUGACAUGAUAACCAGAAAUGCCGCCUUCCACGAAAGGUGAGACCAGGAGCAUGUGGCCAACGGCUCAUAUGGGGGCCCCGUGAGAUGAGCUAAGACCAGGUUUAAGUCUCACUGUGGAACCGGGAGUCUAGAGUACAGGAAGAGGCAUUCCAGACCUUUAAGGAACCGGCCAGUCAUAGCAUGGGAGAACACCCUGUGUCCUUGUACUGGCGGAUGGAAGGCCGAUAUGGCCGCCAGGUGCACCUUGACUGACAAGGAGGGCCCAGGGACUGGCGCCCUCAGGUGGAGGAGAUAAUCAAGGACAAGCUGGAGAGGGGCAGACACUGGGGAGACACCCUGGUCUGUCGCCCACUUAGAGAAUCGUGACCACUUAGCCAAGUAAGCGCGGCGAGUGGAGGGCCGUCUACUUUCAAGGAGGACGCGCUGAACCUGUUCUGAACACGCCCUCUCCUCUCCCAACCAUUGAGCAGCCACGCUGUAAGAUGGAGAGCCACCAGGUUGGGGUGGAGGAAGCGGCCCUGAUCCUGAGACAGCAAGUCCGGGCGGAGUGGUAACUGCCAUGGCAGAGCUACGGCCAGGCUCAUGAGGGUCCCGAACCAGCACUGCCUGGGCCACGCUGGGGCAAUCAGGAGGACCCGGGCCUUGUCCAACUUUAUCUUUUCCAGGACCCUGCUGAUUAGAGGGAACGGGGGAAAGGCGUAGAGGAGCCUGCAUGACCAGGACAGGAGAAAUGCAUCGGAGAUAGUGCCCCUUCCCAGGCCCCCCCAAAGCAAAACCGGGGGCAUCACCGGUUCUGUUGAGAUGCAAACAGGUCCACCUGGGGAGUUCCCCACCUUUGGAAGAGCUGGUGGGCCACUUCCAGGUGGAGGGACCACUCGUGUUGCGAGGAGAAGUCCAUGCUUAGGCGAUCUGCUCAUCUCGUUCUGGGUGCCCGCAGGCCAAAGGCGGUGCACGUUAACAGGAGGAGCGGUACAUGAUCCCUCACCUGCGACCGGGAGGUGCCCUUGACAAGCCAAUCGACCAGAUAUAAGGAAAUAUCUGGACCCCCCAGCGUCUGAGACAGGGCUUUCCCAUCAAACGGGAGGUCCUGCAUGGAAGACUGCGCCUCGCUGGACAGCCCAGAGAGUAAGAGCCAUGACGCCCGUCUCAUGGACACCACUGAGGCCAUCGAUUGUGCGGCCGUGUCCACAGCAUCUGAGGCAGCCUGUAGGGGAGCUCAAGCUGCCGUUGCCCCUUCCUCCACGAGCACCCUGAACUCCUUCUUAUCAUGCCCCUGGAGGGAGUCCUCAAAUUUGGGCAGGAAGCCCCACAGACUGAAUUUGUACUGACCCAGGA